RNAcentral lists this ribosomal RNA (253 nucleotides) under uncultured bacterium. RNAcentral's name for it is "partial 16S ribosomal RNA". It matches the Rfam family "Bacterial small subunit ribosomal RNA", at positions 524 to 776 of the family's 1533-position model. The record is from RNAcentral.
UACGGAGGGUGCAAGCGUUAUCCGGAUUUACUGGGUUUAAAGGGUGCGUAGGUGGGUAGGAAAGUCAGUGGUGAAAUCUUCGGGCUUAACCCGGAAACUGCCAUUGAUACUAUUUAUCUUGAAUACUUUGGAGGUAAGCGGAAUAUGUCAUGUAGCGGUGAAAUGCUUAGAUAUGACAUAGAACACCAAUUGCGAAGGCAGCUUACUACACAGUUAUUGACACUGAGGCACGAAAGCGUGGGGAGCGAGCCGG